RNAcentral lists this ribosomal RNA (497 nucleotides) under uncultured bacterium. Its description in RNAcentral is "partial 16S ribosomal RNA". It matches the Rfam family "Bacterial small subunit ribosomal RNA", at positions 28 to 507 of the family's 1533-position model. The record is from RNAcentral.
GAUGAACGCUGGCGGCGUGCCUAAUACAUGCAAGUCGAGCGAACAGAUGAGGAGCUUGCUCCUCUGACGUUAGCGGCGGACGGGUGAGUAACACGUGGAUAACCUACCUAUAAGACUGGGAUAACUUCGGGAAACCGGAGCUAAUACCGGAUAAUAUAUUGAACCGCAUGGUUCAAUAGUGAAAGACGGUUUUGCUGUCACUUAUAGAUGGAUCCGCGCCGCAUUAGCUAGUUGGUAAGGUAACGGCUUACCAAGGCAACGAUGCGUAGCCGACCUGAGAGGGUGAUCGGCCACACUGGAACUGAGACACGGUCCAGUCUCCUACGGGAGGCAGCAGUAGGGAAUCUUCCGCAAUGGGCGAAAGCCUGACGGAGCAACGCCGCGUGAGUGAUGAAGGUCUUCGGAUCGUAAAACUCUGUUAUUAGGGAAGAACAAAUGUGUAAGUAACUAUGCACGUCUUGACGGUACCUAACCAGAAAGCCACGGCUAACUACGUG